UUGAACGCUGGCGGCAUGCCUUACACAUGCAAGUCGAACGGCAGCACGGGAGCAAUCCUGGUGGCGAGUGGCGAACGGGUGAGUAAUAUAUCGGAACGUGCCCAGUCGUGGGGGAUAACGCAGCGAAAGCUGUGCUAAUACCGCAUACGAUCUCUGGAUGAAAGCGGGGGACCUGCAAGGGCCUCGCGCGAUUGGAGCGGCCGAUAUCAGAUUAGCUAGUUGGUGGGGUAAAAGCUCACCAAGGCGACGAUCUGUAGCUGGUCUGAGAGGACGACCAGCCACACUGGAACUGAGACACGGUCCAGACUCCUACGGGAGGCAGCAGUGGGGAAUUUUGGACAAUGGGCGCAAGCCUGAUCCAGCAAUGCCGCGUGCAGGAUGAAGGCCUUCGGGUUGUAAACUGCUUUUAUAUGUCAAGAAAAUGACGGUAGCAUAUGAAUAAGCACCGGCUAACUCCGU
RNAcentral lists this ribosomal RNA (459 nucleotides) under uncultured bacterium. Its description in RNAcentral is "bacterial SSU rRNA". It matches the Rfam family "Bacterial small subunit ribosomal RNA", at positions 30 to 506 of the family's 1533-position model. The record is from RNAcentral.